AAACCAACAGGGAUUGCCUUAGUAGCGGCGAGUGAAGCGGCAAGAGCUCAAAUUUGAAAUCUGGUACCUUCGGUGCCCGAGUUGUAAUUUGAAGAAAGCUAUCUUGGAGGUGGCCUUUGUCUAUGUUCCUUGGAACAGGACGUCAUGGAGGGUGAGAAUCCCGUGUGAUGAGGUGUCCAUUUCCGUGUAAGAUGCUUUCGAAGAGUCGAGUUGUUUGGGAAUGCAGCUCAAAGUGGGUGGUAAAUUCCAUCUAAAGCUAAAUAUUGGCGAGAGACCGAUAGCGAACAAGUACUGUGAAGGAAAGAUGAAAAGAACUUUGAAAAGAGAGUGAAAAAGUACGUGAAAUUGUUGAAAGGGAAGGGUAUUUGAUCAGACUUGGUAUUUAGCUAUCAUCGCUCCUUGUGGGUGGUGCUCUAGCUUUUUACUGGGCCAAGCAUCAGUUUUGGUGGCAAGAUAAUGACAGUUGAAUGUGGCUCCUCGGAGUGUUAUAGCUUCUGUUGAUGUUGCCUACCGAGACUGAGGUCUGCGGCUUUUGCCUAGGAUGCUGGCGUAAUGAUCCAAUACCGC
Molecule: ribosomal RNA, 567 nt
Filed under: Ogataea polymorpha
Lineage: Eukaryota; Fungi; Ascomycota; Pichiomycetes; Pichiales; Pichiaceae
Description: eukaryotic LSU rRNA
Rfam family: Eukaryotic large subunit ribosomal RNA
Source: RNAcentral